Non-coding RNA from Hordeum vulgare subsp. vulgare (domesticated barley), 136 nucleotides. NCBI's taxonomy places the organism in Eukaryota, Viridiplantae, Streptophyta, Magnoliopsida, Poales, Poaceae. The record is from Rfam.
UAAAUACUCCAUCCGUUCCAAAAUUCUUGUCUUAGGUUUGCUUAGAAAUCGUUGUACCUAAAUACUAAUACAUGUCUACAUACAUUCAUAUCUAGACAAAUCAAAUACAAGAAUUUUGGGACGGAGAAAGUAUAAG